RNAcentral lists this ribosomal RNA (158 nucleotides) under uncultured bacterium. Its description in RNAcentral is "partial 16S ribosomal RNA". It matches the Rfam family "Bacterial small subunit ribosomal RNA", at positions 1343 to 1500 of the family's 1533-position model. The record is from RNAcentral.
CGCAGGUCAGCAUACUGCGGUGAAUACGUUCCCGGGUCUUGUACACACCGCCCGUCACACCAUGGGAGCCGGAAAUGCCCGAAGCCAGUGACCCAACCUUAGGGAGGGAGCUGUCGAAGGUGGAGCCGGUAACUGGGGUGAAGUCGUAACAAGGUAAC